GACGAACGCUGGCGGCGUGCUUAACACAUGCAAGUCGAACGCUGAAGCACCAGCUUGCUGGUGUGGAUGAGUGGCGAACGGGUGAGUAAUACGUGAGUAACCUGCCCUUGACUCUGGGAUAAGCCCGGGAAACUGGGUCUAAUACUGGAUGCUACAUGUCACCGCAUGGUGGUGUGUGGAAAGGGUUUACUGGUCUUGGAUGGGCUCACGGCCUAUCAGCUUGUUGGUGAGGUAAUGGCUCACCAAGGCGACGACGGGUAGCCGGCCUGAGAGGGUGACCGGCCACACUGGGACUGAGACACGGCCCAGACUCCUACGGGAGGCAGCAGUGGGGAAUAUUGCACAAUGGGCGAAAGCCCGAUGCAGCGACGCCGCGUGAGGGAUGACGGCCUUCGGGUUGUAAACCUCUUUCAGCAGGGAAGAAGCCACAAGUGACGGUACCUGCAGAAGAAGCGCCGGCUAACUACGUG
RNAcentral lists this ribosomal RNA (470 nucleotides) under uncultured bacterium. RNAcentral's name for it is "partial 16S ribosomal RNA". It matches the Rfam family "Bacterial small subunit ribosomal RNA", at positions 28 to 507 of the family's 1533-position model. The record is from RNAcentral.